CUCAGAAGGCCUUAAUGUCCUGCCAAUGAAAGAGGAGAUUGUCCUCAACUUCUUUGCAGCAAAACCCAAUUAGGUGGCACCAACCUAGGCUUCCAAAUGUACAAACAGAACAGCAAACCUACAAAAGGAAAGGUGAUAGAAUCUAUAUCAUAAGUCUGGAGAGGACCUAGGAGAAUCUUCUGCUGAUGAUUCCUGUCCUUACUGCCAUUGAAACCCCAGCUGAUGUCAGUGUCAUAUCUUCUAGGAAUACUGGCCAUGGGCUGUGCUGAAGUUUCCAUCUGCCACUGGGGCCACUUCUCUGAGGGGCUCUUCACUCCAGUACCUUUAACUAACCAUAUCUAGGCAACCUUAGUGGAGCCAUGUCUGCCUGAGGUUAUCGAUCCUAGGGCUCUCAGCCUCUUGGAGAUGUAUCUUAUGUUAACCUGGCUACGAAUGCUCUGUGUAACACAGAUUCUCCCCUGCACUUGUAGAUGUUGCCAUCCCAUGCAACCACAAGGGAGCUCACUUAGUGGGUCUCAUGGUGGAUGCUGGCCUAGGAAGUUCUACACAUGGGUGGCACUAUCUCCCGUCAACAUGCAUGGGAGGUCAGACAUGAUCUCUGCCUCUGCAGAGAUCCUGAAGGGAUUGAAAAGAACAGUCAGGUGCUGAAAAGGCUGUAAUCAAGGAGGACCUUCAGGGUGAAUGGACUGCUCCAGCUGGUGAGUUCACUGCUUCCCAGCUCAAGGUAGCAGAUGAAUCUGAAGGCUUGUAGGUGCCUUCUGUGCCUAUUCAGCAGGUCCCUUCUGAAGACUGGAGCACUCAGCCUGCCACUGAAUCCUGGU
Molecule: long non-coding RNA, 821 nt
Filed under: Homo sapiens (human)
Lineage: Eukaryota; Metazoa; Chordata; Mammalia; Primates; Hominidae
Description: non-protein coding lnc-ALDH7A1-9:1
Source: RNAcentral